RNAcentral lists this ribosomal RNA (272 nucleotides) under uncultured Staphylococcus sp. Its description in RNAcentral is "partial 16S ribosomal RNA". It matches the Rfam family "Bacterial small subunit ribosomal RNA", at positions 89 to 355 of the family's 1533-position model. The record is from RNAcentral. Lineage: Bacteria; Bacillati; Bacillota; Bacilli; Caryophanales; Staphylococcaceae.
ACGUUAGCGGCGGACGGGUGAGUAACACGUGGGUAACCUACCUAUAAGACUGGGAUAACUUCGGGAAACCGGAGCUAAUACCGGAUAAUAUUUCAACCGCAUGGUUCGAUAGUGAAAGAUGGUUUUGCUAUCACUUAUAGAUGGACCUGCGCCGUAUUAGCUAGUUGGUAAGGUAACGGCUUACCAAGGCGACGAUACGUAGCCGACCUGAGAGGGUGAUCGGCCACACUGGAACUGAGACACGGUCCAGACUCCUACGGGAGGCAGCAGCC